UUCCUCUCAUUGACUUCUACCUAAUACCAGUUUCUUAGUUAAAAUUAAUUGGUUUUAAAACUGUUAUUCAUCAAAAUAUAAAGUGUCGCUCGGGGUGUCAGAUUUUGCGUCGCAAGGGGUAGAGGCUUGUCAUAAAAAAAUACAUAUUUGCAUGUAAAUUAGUCUUCAUAUGAUACAUUUUAUUUCAAACACAUCUACUUUACCAUGACAAAAUAAGGGUUUUUCAUUUUGCCUGUUUUUGGUCUUAUAAAACAUGUGCUUUUGAUUU
RNAcentral lists this long non-coding RNA (268 nucleotides) under Mytilus galloprovincialis (Mediterranean mussel). The record is from RNAcentral. Lineage: Eukaryota; Metazoa; Mollusca; Bivalvia; Mytilida; Mytilidae.